UGGCUCAGGACGAACGCUGGCGGCGUGCUUAACACAUGCAAGUCGAACGGUAAGGCCCUUCGGGGUACACGAGUGGCGAACGGGUGAGUAACACGUGGGUGAUCUGCCCUGCGCUUCGGGAUAAGCCUGGGAAACUGGGUCUAAUACCGGAUAGGACUCCUGGCUUCAUGGUUGGGGGUGUAAAGCUUUUGCGGUGUGGGAUGGGCCCGCGGCCUAUCAGCUUGUUGGUGGGGUAAUGGCCUACCAAGGCGACGACGGGUAGCCGGCCUGAGAGGGUGACCGGCCACACUGGGACUGAGAUACGGCCCAGACUCCUACGGGAGGCAGCAGUGGGGAAUAUUGCACAAUGGGCGCAAGCCUGAUGCAGCGACGCCGCGUGAGGGAUGACGGCCUUCGGGUUGUAAACCUCUUUCAAUAGGGACGAAGCGCAAGUGACGGUACCUAUAGAAGAAGGACCGGCCAACUACGUG
RNAcentral lists this ribosomal RNA (470 nucleotides) under uncultured bacterium. RNAcentral's name for it is "bacterial SSU rRNA". It matches the Rfam family "Bacterial small subunit ribosomal RNA", at positions 20 to 507 of the family's 1533-position model. The record is from RNAcentral.